Molecule: non-coding RNA, 1041 nt
Organism: Podarcis lilfordi (Lilford's wall lizard)
Lineage: Eukaryota; Metazoa; Chordata; Lepidosauria; Squamata; Lacertidae
Source: the annotation of a GenBank genome assembly
AGCUAACCUUCUCCAAACAAAGCUGAAGUGAACCUCUUCAGAUCAAAUCCCGAUUUGACUCUGUGUCCUGCCAAGAGGAUUUGAAAUCUAUCUCCUUCACUAGGUUGAUUAUUGCCAGUUUCUGCUCUGCAGCUGUCUCCAUCCUUUACGGGCAGCAUUAAAUCGGACUCAUUACCUGAGUGCUGUGCGACGCACCAGCAGCACUUUACCUGCGUGAGAGAGCGCAGGCCUGGCAGGAUUAGCCCUCCAUGGGCUUUCUGUGGAGACCCAUUAUUACCUUCAGAAUGGUUCCUGGGUAAUUCGAGGCUUUUAACAAUAGCAAAAAGAAAAGCAAACAACUGGAAGCAAACUGCUAGAAUCCAACUGCAGCACUUAGCAAAAGUAAGUUCCUAUUUUAAAAAGAAGUGGCUGCUUCUCUGAAUAUUACCCCCAACAACUUCCUUACGCUCCCUUAGAAACAUUACACUUAACUGGGCCAUGAAGUCAUCUCCUCUAUGGCUUCUUCCGCAUUGUACAUUUAAAGCACUGUUAUACCACUGUCCUGGCUUCCCUCAAAAAAAUCCUGGGGAGUUUAGUUUGUGAUGCGUGCCAAGCUUCGUUAGGAGAUCCCCUGUUCCUCUCACAGAACUACAAUUCUCAGAGUAGCUUAACAGUCAAUCCAUAGCUGUCAAUUUACAGAUUUGAAAAUAAGGGACCAGCAGCCUUGAAAAUAAGGGAUCAGCAGCCAAAAUAAGGGAUUUUGCUUAGCUGAUACAUAAAUCUGCCACUGAUGGAGCCAUGCUGCUUUUGCUUCCACUGACUAUGUUUUGCAGGGGGUUGGACUAGAUGAUCCUAAGGGUCUACAACUCCGACCAAAGAAGAGGGGCAGACAAAACUGAUGAACGACGUUGAGACGGCAAAGCUUACAGGCAGAAUUAGAAACCGAGAAGAGGACCUCUUUAAUAAAGAAUGGGGAAAGUUUAUAAUUUAGUUGAAAAGCUAUUGUAAAGAGUUACAUACAUUGGUAGGAUUGACAGAAAACUGGGACAUCAUCAAUCCGGG